GCUAGAACGAAAAUUAUAAUCUAUCUAUCCAACUACAUUAAAGGAAGAUUUGGGGACUAAAGAGUGACGCGUGUCUCCCCCAAACCCUUCUUUACUCUCUCCAUAUAUAUAUAUAUAUAUAUAUAUAUGCGGCUAGGAUUCUUAUGGAAGCACGGAGGGCUUCGUGCUUCCACUUUAUUUUCGAUGUUCGGACUUUCGAAUCGACGAUCGGCUCCGUUAGACUUGAUCUAGAAUAUUUGAAGUAUCUAGAAAAUAAAUUUUGUGAUUUUUCGAUAUUAUUUGCCUAGUGAUCGAAGUGGCUCAAAAUCAACGGCUGAAAAUAAAAAUCUUACAAAAUAUGAUGAUAUGACAUUAAAAUUUUAGAUCAAAGUUAUUGAUGUUGUUUUAUAUGGUAUAAAAAAUUUUCUAUCAAAAUUUCAUGUGAUUUGGAUAUGUCUACACCGUUAAACUUGCAACCGGCUCACCAUGGCCGUUAAAAUUAUUGAUUUU
Molecule: long non-coding RNA, 489 nt
Filed under: Ananas comosus (pineapple)
Lineage: Eukaryota; Viridiplantae; Streptophyta; Magnoliopsida; Poales; Bromeliaceae
Description: long non-coding RNA (ACOM_LNC030715)
Source: RNAcentral